Rhopilema esculentum is the source of this 621-nucleotide non-coding RNA. Lineage: Eukaryota; Metazoa; Cnidaria; Scyphozoa; Rhizostomeae; Rhizostomatidae. The record is from RefSeq and is a predicted model, not a curated record.
CGGAACAAAGGUAUAAUUAUAUUUUUAUGCAUAUCUUGCAACAAAACAAAAACCUGCAAGAUAACUUUAAUUUCUAUAUUCUCUGACGCUUGUAGAUUAUGACUAUCAAUCAAAAGAAUUCUCAAGCGGAUUCCUGUAACGAAUCGGCACAGCUGGCGGUAUCUACCAAUCAAAGCCAAGAUUCCCUUGGGAUUCAAACCAUGUUUCUCUUGGAAUAACAUUGACAAUAAAGAAGAAGGUAUUGAGGAAGACGGUGCAAGACAACGAAUUAUCGACAAGCAUCCAACUAUGUCUGGGAAAAGAAGAGAAGAAGAUGCGAAGACAAAGGAAAUGGAAUUGAAAUUAAGGAUAGAGAAGAAGAGACAGUCUUUGCAUGACUGGAUGAAGAAGAAGCGAAUCGAGCGAACGAGAAGUAUCUAAUGGAAGUUGAAGAGAAGAGACAGAAAGAAAGUAGGCAUUUGUAAGUAAAGCGAAGAAUACCGACCCUGUACGUCCAGUGGACAUAAAAUUGGCGAAGGAAAAGAAGGCUAUGAAAAGUAAGCAAAGUUUUAUCUUUUACUAUUUUUGAAGUGGGCCUGAGAUCUCUUAUGCGAGCGCGAUUUCAAGAAGCAUGUGGUGAAU